GAUCUUUAUAUAAGGAAUGGCCCAGAUGAUUAUAUAAAUCUACAUUUAAUUUUCAUUAGAAUUGUCCUAGGUAGUGCUUGAACUUUAAAUCCUGUAGAGUAGAAGCAAAUCUGUGUUUGCAAUAGAAAUUGCCAGAAGAAAGAACAAGGAAGACAUUUAGAUAAUUUCAUCUGGGUGUGCAAAGUCAUCACAAGAUCCAUCUUUCCAUUAUCUGGAAGUUGGGAGCCACCUGUUUUUCAUGACGGUCUGACGGUUGGAAUGAGAAGUU
This 268-nucleotide long non-coding RNA is filed under the name Pan troglodytes (chimpanzee). RNAcentral's name for it is "lincRNA". Lineage: Eukaryota; Metazoa; Chordata; Mammalia; Primates; Hominidae. The record is from RNAcentral.